UGUUCGUGAAAUCUCACGGCUUAACUGUGAGCGUGCGGGCGAUACGGGCAGACUUGAGUACUGCAGGGGAGACUGGAAUUCCUGGUGUAGCGGUGGAAUGCGCAGAUAUCAGGAGGAACACCGGUGGCGAAGGCGGGUCUCUGGGCAGUAACUGACGCUGAGGAGCGAAAGCGUGGGGAGCGAACAGGAUUAGAUACCCUGGUAGUCCACGCCGUAAACGGUGGGUACUAGGUGUGGGUUUCCUUCCUUGGGAUCCGUGCCGUAGCUAACGCAUUAAGUACCCCGCCUGGGGAGUACGGCCGCAAGGCUAAAACUCAAAGAAAUUGACGGGGGCCCGCACAAGCGGCGGAGCAUGUGGAUUAAUUCGAUGCAACGCGAAGAACCUUACCUGGGUUUGACAUGCACAGGACGCCGGCAGAGAUGUCGGUUCCCUUGUGGCCUGUGUGCAGGUGGUGCAUGGCUGUCGUCAGCUCGUGUCGUGAGAUGUUGGGUUAAGUCCCGCAACGAGCGCAACCCUUGUCUCAUGUUGCCAGCGGGUAAUGCCGGGGACUCGUGAGAGACUGCCGGGGUCAACUCGGAGGAAGGUGGGGAUGACGUCAAGUCAUCAUGCCCCUUAUGUCCAGGGCUUCACACAUGCUACAAUGGCCGGUACAAAGGGCUGCGAUGCCGCGAGGUUAAGCGAAUCCUUUUAAAGCCGGUCUCAGUUCGGAUCGGGGUCUGCAACUCGACCCCGUGAAGUCGGAG
Molecule: ribosomal RNA, 744 nt
Filed under: uncultured bacterium
Lineage: Bacteria
Description: bacterial SSU rRNA
Rfam family: Bacterial small subunit ribosomal RNA
Source: RNAcentral